AUUGAACGCUGGCGGCAGGCCUAACACAUGCAAGUCGAACGGUAACAGGAAGCAGCUUGCUGCUUCGCUGACGAGUGGCGGACGGGUGAGUAAUGUCUGGGAAGCUGCCUGAUGGAGGGGGAUAACUACUGGAAACGGUAGCUAAUACCGCAUAAUGUCGCAAGACCAAAGAGGGGGACCUUCGGGCCUCUUGCCAUCGGAUGUGCCCAGAUGGGAUUAGCUUGUUGGUGGGGUAACGGCUCACCAAGGCGACGAUCCCUAGCUGGUCUGAGAGGAUGACCAGCCACACUGGGACUGAGAGACGGUCCAGACUCCUACGGGAGGCAGCAGUGGGGAAUAUUGCACAAUGGGCGCAAGCCUGAUGCAGCCAUGCCGCGUGUAUGAAGAAGGCCUUCGGGUUGUAAAGUACUUUCAGCGGGGAGGAAGGGAGUAAAGUUAAUACCUUUGCUCAUUGACGUUACCCGCAGAAGAAGCACCGGCUAACUCCGUG
RNAcentral lists this ribosomal RNA (490 nucleotides) under uncultured bacterium. Its description in RNAcentral is "partial 16S ribosomal RNA". It matches the Rfam family "Bacterial small subunit ribosomal RNA", at positions 30 to 507 of the family's 1533-position model. The record is from RNAcentral.